RNAcentral lists this ribosomal RNA (253 nucleotides) under uncultured bacterium. RNAcentral's name for it is "partial 16S ribosomal RNA". It matches the Rfam family "Bacterial small subunit ribosomal RNA", at positions 524 to 776 of the family's 1533-position model. The record is from RNAcentral.
UACGUAGGGGGCAAGCGUUAUCCGGAAUUACUGGGUGUAAAGGGAGCGUAGACGGUAAUGUAAGUCUGGAGUGAAAGGCGGGGGCCCAACCCCCGGACUGCUCUGGAAACUAUGUUACUAGAGUGCAGGAGAGGUAAGUGGAAUUCCUAGUGUAGCGGUGAAAUGCGUAGAUAUUAGGAGGAACACCAGUGGCGAAGGCGGCUUGCUGGACUGUAACUGACGUUGAGGCUCGAAAGCGUGGGGAGCAAACAGG